CCAGACUCCUACGGGAGGCAGCAGUGGGGAAUAUUGCACAAUGGGGGGAACCCUGAUGCAGCGACGCCGCGUGGGUGAAGGAGCACCUCGGUGCGUAAAGCCCUAUCGGCAGGGAAGAAAAGCGAACAGGUUCGCCUGGACGGUACCUGACUAAGAAGCCCCGGCUAACUACGUGCCAGCAGCCGCGGUAAUACGUAGGGGGCAAGCGUUAUCCGGAUUUACUGGGUGUAAAGGGAGCGUAGGCGGCGAUGCAAGUCAGAAGUGAAAGCCCGGGGCUCAACUCCGGGACUGCUUUUGAAACUGUGUUGCUAGAUUGCAGGAGAGGUAAGUGGAAUUCCUAGUGUAGCGGUGAAAUGCGUAGAUAUUAGGAGGAACACCAGUGGCGAAGGCGGCUUACUGGACUGUAAAUGACGCUGAGGCUCGAAAGCGUGGGGAGCAAACAGGAUUAGAUACCCCGGUA
Molecule: ribosomal RNA, 460 nt
Filed under: uncultured bacterium
Lineage: Bacteria
Description: bacterial SSU rRNA
Rfam family: Bacterial small subunit ribosomal RNA
Source: RNAcentral